This 483-nucleotide ribosomal RNA is filed under the name uncultured bacterium. RNAcentral describes it as "partial 16S ribosomal RNA". It matches the Rfam family "Bacterial small subunit ribosomal RNA", at positions 29 to 506 of the family's 1533-position model. The record is from RNAcentral.
AUUGAACGCUGGCGGCAUGCUUUACACAUGCAAGUCGAACGGCAGCGCGGGCUUCGGCCUGGCGGCGAGUGGCGAACGGGUGAGUAAUGCAUCGGAACGUGCCCAGUAGUGGGGGAUAGCCCGGCGAAAGCCGGAUUAAUACCGCAUACGACCUGAGGGUAAAAGCGGGGGACCGAAAGGCCUCGCGCUAUUGGAGCGGCCGAUGUCGGAUUAGCUAGUUGGUGGGGUAAAGGCUUACCAAGGCGACGAUCCGUAGCUGGUCUGAGAGGACGACCAGCCACACUGGGACUGAGACACGGCCCAGACUCCGACGGGAGGCAGCAGUGGGGAAUUUUGGACAAUGGGGGCAACCCUGAUCCAGCCAUGCCGCGUGCGGGAAGAAGGCCUUCGGGUUGUAAACCGCUUUUGUUCGGGAAGAAAUCCUCUGGGCUAAUACCCCGGGGGGAUGACGGUACCGGAAGAAUAAGCACCGGCUAACUACGU